GACGAACGCUGGCGGCGUGCUUAACACAUGCAAGUCGAACGGAAAGGCCCUGCUUUUGUGGGGUGCUCGAGUGGCGAACGGGUGAGUAACACGUGAGUAACCUGCCCUUGACUUUGGGAUAACUUCAGGAAACUGGGGCUAAUACCGGAUAGGAGCUCCUGCUGCAUGGGGGGGGUUGGAAAGUUUCGGCGGUUGGGGAUGGACUCGCGGCUUAUCAGCUUGUUGGUGGGGUAGUGGCUUACCAAGGCUUUGACGGGUAGCCGGCCUGAGAGGGUGACCGGCGACAUUGGGACUGAGAUAGGGCCCAGACUCGUACGGGAGGCAGCAGUGGGGAAUAUUGCAGAAUGGGCGGAAGCCUGAUGCAGCAACGCCGCGUGCGGGAUGACGGCCUUCGGGUUGUAAACCGCUUUCGCCUGUGACGAAGCGUGAGUGACGGUAAUGGGUAAAGAAGCACCGGCUAACUACGUG
Molecule: ribosomal RNA, 468 nt
Filed under: uncultured bacterium
Lineage: Bacteria
Description: partial 16S ribosomal RNA
Rfam family: Bacterial small subunit ribosomal RNA
Source: RNAcentral